RNAcentral lists this ribosomal RNA (433 nucleotides) under uncultured bacterium. Its description in RNAcentral is "partial 16S ribosomal RNA". It matches the Rfam family "Bacterial small subunit ribosomal RNA", at positions 29 to 507 of the family's 1533-position model. The record is from RNAcentral.
AACGAACGCUGGCGGCAUGCCUAACACAUGCAAGUCGAACGAGACCUUCGGGUCUAGUGGCGCACGGGUGCGUAACGCGUGGGAACGUGCCCUUCUCUUCGGAAUAGCCCCGGGAAAUUUGGACUAAUACCGGAUGAUGCCUUCGGACCAAAGAUUUAUCGCGAAUAGAUGGGCCCGCGUUGGAUUAGGUAGUUGGUGGGGUAAAGGCCUACCAAGGCGACGAUCCAUAGCUGGUCUGAGAGGAUGAUCAGCCACACUGGGACUGAGACACGGCCCAGACUCCUACGGGAGGGAAGAGUGGGGGAUACUUGACAAUGGGCGGAAACCUGAUCCAGCCAAGGCGGGGGAAUUAAGAAGGCCUUAAGGUUGUAAAACCCCUUUAACCGGGAAGGUAAUGACCGGUUCGGGAGGAAGAGCUCCGGCUAACUCCGUG